This 1504-nucleotide long non-coding RNA is filed under the name Homo sapiens (human). RNAcentral describes it as "non-protein coding PRKCQ-AS1:33". Lineage: Eukaryota; Metazoa; Chordata; Mammalia; Primates; Hominidae. The record is from RNAcentral.
UUGGUAUCACAUUACGGAUAAACCCCAGUUUUUGAACUUCACAUACUGCACAAUGCUGGUGAUGUAGCAGCCCUGUUGGGAUUUUGUUAGGGAUCCUUAAUCCUUGUUGUGUUGCUGUGAACAGGACUGUGUUUAUUUGCAGGAGUCCAUUCUCAAUUUUCUGUGCAAAUUGGGGAAGGCUGUUGAUAAUCGGUGGAUGCUAUAGUGCCCAUGGAAAGACUCUAGUCUGAAGAUACCAGUCUCUCCCUCCCAAGAUCACCUCCCCUGACCAACCUUCUGCACUCCUGACAGAUACAAGGGAGCAAGCAAGUUGCACCCAACCUAAUAGUAAAUUGCAGGGACAUUUCCAUUCUAAGGAAGGAAUUUUUGUGUGUGUUGCAACUCAGCUUCUGCUCUGGCAUUUUGCUGUGGUAAGCAUUGCAAGGCAAGGUUUAUAUAGGUUAGAAGAGAAUUUUUUAUUAUGCCCUCUGUGUUAUCAUUUAUUAGCAUUUAUAUUGCCAAUCAUGUUGGAGAGUCCAUGUGGUGAUUUCUGAAAACGAGAUGUGAGAAAGAAGAGGAUAAUUUAAGUCUAGACCUACAGAUUGUGCUGAUAAAGUGAUGAAGAACUACAAUCUUCUUAGUCAUUUCAUUGUAUAAGUGCAAUAAAGGGUAUGUAAUAAAUUUGUAUGUUCAUAUUUACAACGGAAACUGCUUAUCAAUGAAUUUCACGGGGCAUUUGUGUCUUGCCAGAUUUUGUGUCUUUCCUGGCAAACAACUUGUGACCACAGUGAUGGCUCCAGCAGAAUGGAAAAGACCCUUUACCUCACAUCUCAGAAGUAAAGAUGCUGAUUAUUUGACAUCGCCAUUGGAAUCUCAAAACAGUGUAAAGCAUUUGCUAAAAAGAGUCACUUUCUGAGAAAUGACUCAGAAUUCGACUUACGUACUAGCAGAACUUAUUGCCCAUAAAAGGAAAGGCCACACUUUUUGUGAAAACUUAAUAAUCCCUAGGAUGUAAAAUUAUACUGAGUUAAAUCCUAGUCCCAUUUUUAGUACAAGAAACUGGAAAAAAAUAAUCCACUCUCAAAUGGUAAGACAAAUUGAGAUAUUGCUGAAAAGCCUCUUGACCCUGAAAAGUUCUGAAUAAUAAACUGAUAAAAGCAGCAGCAGCAUCUAACUUGACACCAGUCAUGUCAUUUGUAAGUAAGGUUGGUAAAUAGUAAUGAAAUUCAAGCAAUAUUUUCAGCUAUGAAGAGCUGCUCAAACCAAGCAAAGGCCAAGAUCUACUUUAAAUUUUGUCUACGUAUCUUUAAACAAGGCAUCUGUCUUGGGGGCAUUGUGUUAGCAUCUGUACCGGUAACACCUCAUCCAGGGUUGGCUUGAUAAGAGGCUUCACAUUUUUUGUAGAAUAAGAAAAAAACCUGGCAUUGUCACAACACACUGAUUUGUUCAUGCAGUAGUGCUUGGGGUCAAAAACUCUUGGAAUGACCAGGCAGAGUGGCUCACACCUGUAAUCUCUGCACUUUGG